This 492-nucleotide ribosomal RNA is filed under the name uncultured bacterium. RNAcentral describes it as "partial 16S ribosomal RNA". It matches the Rfam family "Bacterial small subunit ribosomal RNA", at positions 29 to 507 of the family's 1533-position model. The record is from RNAcentral.
AGUGAACGCUGGCGGGAGGCCUAACACAUGCAAGUCGAACGGCAGCACAGUAAGAGCUUGCUCUUACGGGUGGCGAGUGGCGGACGGGUGAGGAAUACGUCGGAAUCUACUUUUUCGUGGGGGAUAACGUAGGGAAACUUACGCUAAUACCCCAUACGACCUACGGGUGAAAGCAGGGGAUCUUCGGACCUUGCGCGAUUGAAUGAGCCGAUGUCGGAUUAGCUAGUUGGCGGGGUCAAGGCCCACCAAGGCAACGAUCCGUAGCUGGUCUGAAGGGAUGAGCAGCCGCACUGGAACUGAGACACGGUCAAGACUCCUCCGGGAGGCAGCAGUGGGGAAUAUUGGACAAUGGGCGAAAGCCUGAUCCAGCCAUACCGAGUCGGUGAAGAAGGCCUUCGGGUUGUAAAGCCCUUUUGUUGGGAAAGAAAAGCAGCAGGUUAAUACCCCGCUGUUCUGACGGUACCCAAAGAAUAAGCACCGGCUAACUUCGUG